RNAcentral lists this ribosomal RNA (651 nucleotides) under uncultured Actinomycetes bacterium. Its description in RNAcentral is "bacterial SSU rRNA". It matches the Rfam family "Bacterial small subunit ribosomal RNA", at positions 237 to 885 of the family's 1533-position model. The record is from RNAcentral. Lineage: Bacteria; Bacillati; Actinomycetota; Actinomycetes.
CCUAUCAGCUUGUUGGUGGGGUGAUGGCCUACCAAGGCGACGACGGAUAGCCGGCCUGAGAGGGUGAUCGGCCACACUGGGACUGAGACACGGCCCAGACUCCUACGGGAGGCAGCAGUGGGGAAUCUUGCGCAAUGGGCGGAAGCCUGACGCAGCAACGCCGCGUGGGGGAUGACGGCCUUCGGGUUGUAAACCUCUUUCGCGAUCGACGAAGGUCCAGUUGUUGCUGGGCUGACGGUAGGUCGAGAAGAAGCCCCGGCCAACUACGUGCCAGCAGCCGCGGUAAUACGUAGGGUGCGAGCGUUGUCCGGAAUUAUUGGGCGUAAAGAGCUUGUAGGCGGUGUGUCGCGUCGGCCGUGAAAACCUGGGGCUUAACUCUGGGCGUGCGGUCGAUACGGGCAUCACUUGAGUUCGGCAGGGGAGUCUGGAAUUCCUGGUGUAGCGGUGAAAUGCGCAGAUAUCAGGAGGAACACCGGUGGCGAAGGCGGGUCUCUGGGCCGAUACUGACGCUGAGGAGCGAAAGCAUGGGUAGCGAACAGGAUUAGAUACCCUGGUAGUCCAUGCCGUAAACGUUGGGCGCUAGGUGUGGGGCUCAUUCCACGGGUUCCGUGUCGCAGCUAACGCAUUAAGCGCCCCGCCUGGGGAGUACGG